AUGGGGCACUUGGCUUCGAUGUGUGUUACCUUUUUACCUUGGGAGUGCGUUGCACCCAUGUGUGCCUUCCAGGCCAAAGAGCAGGGGUUCUUUUACAUCCCCGAUUCGUGCACUGCUAAACAACUUAAGGGAAGAGCUACUAGUGUUGUGAUUACUGUCAUUGAGGGGGAAGCUAGUGUUAAGGAGUUAGAAGAAGCGUUCUCUGAUUACAUUGGGACUAAGUGGCACUGUAUUGCCCGUACUAUUGGUCCUAAUACUUAUGUGAUGAGAUUUCCCAAUCAAAGAGAUGUGAAAAAAGCAUGUUACAAUGACAGGAUGAUCCUUAAAUCUUGUGGUGUAGUUGUUAGAAUUGUUCCCUGGUCGGCCAACAUUGGGGCUAAGGGAGUCAUGGAGAUGGCCUGGGUUAAAGUAGCUAAUAUUCCUCUGGAAAGAAGAAAUGAAAGGAAUGUCGCCUAUGUUUCUUCCCUGGUGGGUGUCCCGCUCGAGAUCGACAUGGCCACCCUGCACAAGCCUGAAUUUGUCAGGGUCCGGCUGGGCUGUCGCAAUGUGGACGAGCUCCCAGGGGUAGCUGAGGCAGUGCUGGGUACGCACUUCUUUGACUUUUUCUAUGAAAUUGAGAAAGUGCUGGUGCGUGACCCAGAGAGAGAAAAAAAGGCUGUGGAGGUGGAGGAGGAUACCAAAAAAUCCCCUUAUACAAAAGCAGCCGCUUGGGGCAAGCAUGACCCUAAAUCUGGAAACAAAGAGAGAAAUGAGGGGUGCAGCAAGUAUGGUGAUAGUGGGCACAAUGGCCCUGCUGACGCAAAAGAGGAAGAAAGUAUGGAGUCUGAAGAAUCAGAAGAUAAUAUGUUGUUGAUUGAGACUAUGGUCAUGGAGGCGUACAGUAAAGAAAAAGCUCAAGGUUCUCAAGCAAUGCUGGAUAUUGAUGAUGCCAAGCAUAAUGCUGAUGAGAUUCAGGUAGAAAAAGAUGAUAAUGCAUGUUCUUUCAUUGCUGCUGUAACUCAUAAAAAUAUAGCUCAGUUAAAUGUGGCUAUGGAAUGUGAGCAGGUGGUGGAAUGUGAGGGGGAGGACCUCUCCAAGAUGGGAAAAUCAGACUACCUGGUACAAUACCCCACCUCUUCUUCUGAGGAUGUGGGAGAGGUGAUCCCUACACCUCCCCUUGUUUCUGAAGAAGUUAAGAGAUUUAGCCUGAGGAACUUGCAGAAUAUGGAAGGAAGAAUGCAAGAGAAGGCUGUGGCCAUUUCCAAAAAGAGAAAAAGAUGA
This 1260-nucleotide ribosomal RNA is filed under the name Triticum aestivum (bread wheat). Its description in RNAcentral is "partial small subunit ribosomal RNA". The record is from RNAcentral. Lineage: Eukaryota; Viridiplantae; Streptophyta; Magnoliopsida; Poales; Poaceae.